GGGCUUGUAGAGUAGUCGGGUUAUCUCAUUUGGGAAACAAACUAAUAUGAUGAUUGGGAACAUGAUUCUGAAGGGUUUAAAGUACCAAGAGAACGUUGGUUCGAAUCCAACCAAGCCCA
RNAcentral lists this transfer RNA (119 nucleotides) under marine sediment metagenome. RNAcentral's name for it is "tRNA-Phe". It matches the Rfam family "tRNA". From Rfam's summary of the family: Transfer RNA (tRNA) molecules are approximately 80 nucleotides in length. Their secondary structure includes four short double-helical elements and three loops (D, anti-codon, and T loops). Further hydrogen bonds mediate the characteristic L-shaped molecular structure. tRNAs have two regions of fundamental functional importance: the anti-codon, which is responsible for specific mRNA codon recognition, and the 3' end, to which the tRNAs corresponding amino acid is attached (by aminoacyl-tRNA synthetases). tRNAs cope with the degeneracy of the genetic code in two manners: having more than one tRNA (with a specific anti-codon) for a particular amino acid; and 'wobble' base-pairing, i.e. permitting non-standard base-pairing at the 3rd anti-codon position. The record is from RNAcentral.